CGACCGGCGCACGGGUGAGUAACACGUAUCCGACCUGCCGAUAACUCGGGGAUAGCCUUUCGAAAGAAAGAUUAAUAUCCGAUAGCAUAUCAAUCCCACAUGAGAUUGAUAUUAAAGAAUUUCGGUUAUCGAUGGGGAUGCGUUCCAUUAGUUUGUUGGCGGGGUAACGGCCCACCAAGACUACGAUGGAUAGGGGUUCUGAGAGGAAGGUCCCCCACAUUGGAACUGAGACACGGUCCAA
RNAcentral lists this ribosomal RNA (241 nucleotides) under uncultured bacterium. Its description in RNAcentral is "partial 16S ribosomal RNA". It matches the Rfam family "Bacterial small subunit ribosomal RNA", at positions 92 to 334 of the family's 1533-position model. The record is from RNAcentral.